AUUGAACGCUGGCGGCAUGCUUUACACAUGCAAGUCGAACGGUAACAGGCCUUCGGGUGCUGACGAGUGGCGAACGGGUGAGUAAUGCAUCGGAACGUGCCCAGAGGUGGGGGAUAACGCAGCGAAAGCUGUGCUAAUACCGCAUGUGAUCUGAGGAUGAAAGCGGGGGACCAGGCAGCAAUGUUUGGCCUCGCGCCUUUGGAGCGGCCGAUGUCAGAUUAGGUAGUUGGUGGGGUAAAGGCCUACCAAGCCGACGAUCUGUAGCUGGUCUGAGAGGACGACCAGCCACACUGGAACUGAGACACGGCCCAGACUCCUACGGGAGGCAGCAGUGGGGAAUUUUGGACAAUGGGCGCAAGCCUGAUCCAGCAAUGCCGCGUGCGGGAAGAAGGCCUUCGGGUUGUAAACCGCUUUUGUACGGAACGAAAAGGCUCUGGCUAAUACCUGGAGCUGAUGACGGUACCGUAAGAAUAAGCACCGGCUAACUACGUG
RNAcentral lists this ribosomal RNA (492 nucleotides) under uncultured bacterium. Its description in RNAcentral is "partial 16S ribosomal RNA". It matches the Rfam family "Bacterial small subunit ribosomal RNA", at positions 30 to 507 of the family's 1533-position model. The record is from RNAcentral.